GACGAACGCUGGCGGCGUGCUUAACACAUGCAAGUCGAACGGUGAAGCGCUUUCCUUUUUGGUUGGUGUGGAUGAGUGGCGAACGGGUGAGUAACACGUGAGUAACCUGCCCCCUUCUUCUGGAUAACCGCAUGAAAGUGUGGCUAAUACGGGAUAUUCUGCGCCUGCUGCAUGGUGGGUGUGGGAAAGAUUGUGCCUUUGGGUGUUUUCGGUGGGGGAUGGGCUCGCGGCCUAUCAGCUUGUUGGUGGGGUGAUGGCCUACCAAGGCGGUGACGGGUAGCCGGCCUGCGGGGGUGGACGGUCACACUGGGACUGGGACACGGCCCAGACUGCUACGGGAGGCAGCAGUGGGGAAGAUUGCACAAUGGGCGCAAGCCUGAUGCAGCGACGCCGCGUGAGGGAUGGAGGCCUUCGGGUUGUGAACCUCUUUCGCCAGUGAAGCAGGCCUGCUCCUUGUGGGUGGGUUGACGGUAGCUGGAUAAGAAGCGCCGGCUAACUACGUG
Molecule: ribosomal RNA, 503 nt
Filed under: uncultured bacterium
Lineage: Bacteria
Description: partial 16S ribosomal RNA
Rfam family: Bacterial small subunit ribosomal RNA
Source: RNAcentral